RNAcentral lists this long non-coding RNA (769 nucleotides) under Androctonus crassicauda. Lineage: Eukaryota; Metazoa; Arthropoda; Arachnida; Scorpiones; Buthidae. The record is from RNAcentral.
GCGCAUAUGUGAACUGGUUCGGCGGCGAGUGACGCCGACGACAAUCAUGUCUGUCGCUGGCGCGCACUGUCGAGCGAGAAUUGCCACCCGUGUGAAUCAGCCUUUAGAUUUAAUAUUAGAGGGCUUUUUAAUAAAACUAAAAGGACAGGUGAAUGGGACACAAGUACCCUCAUCUAUUAUUAUAAAAUCAUUAGGAAGGCAAAAAGAUCUUCCUGGAAAAGAUAGUCAGGAAAUUGAGGAAAUACUUGAUGUAUCCAGACUAGUGAAGAUAAUAUCCAAAGGGAAUUAUUACAAAGUUAGUACUAUCAAGUUGUAGAUGGCAGAAUGAUUAGUACUUGCAAAGACUCUAAAAGAAUCCAAGUAAACUUUUCUAGGUCUGCUUGGAUUGAAGGAUCAUCUUUUUCACAGGAGCAGUCAGAUCUCAAUGGACAUAUUUAUCAUAUUAUGAGGGAGAAUUGAAACCUUAAGAGCACGAUGAAUUAAUCAAAUAUUAUACUGUCAAAUCUGUUGACAGCCCAUAUAAUAAUUGAAUAUCUUUAAGGCUUUCAAAUCUGUUGGGCCAGAUAGUAUUUUGCCAGUGUUUUUACAACAGGAUUUUGAUCUUGUUUUUUUUCUGUAUCUUCAAGGCCUAUCUAGUUUUUGUCUAUAUUCCAUGGCCCUGAAGACAAAUAGAUUUUUCUUACCUAAGUCUGAGCAUCGUUCUUAUACUGAGCUUAGUUCUAUUGUCUAAUCAAUCUGAUACCAUUCUUAUUGAAGAUGACAGACUCAC